UAUAUAUAUAUAGACACACACAUACAUUUUCCAAAUUUUUAAGCUUAUCAUUUUUCUCAUCAAUUUUUCACAUCUUAUUUACAAGCUUUUCUCCAUUAAAUGACUGAAAUGACCCAUGUAACUAACUUUAGGCUAAUUAAUCUAAGUCAGUUGAUUAUAGGCACUAUGUUCUGAGAAACCCCUCAGCUUUAAUUACUCGAGUCGAAUAGACUCCGGAAAAGGGCAUAAGAUACUGAUCUUUUUCUUUCAAGGGAAUAUACUUGAUCUUAGGUCUAGUGAAAUAAGGUCAAUUCAUAUUCAAAGUCAUCAUACCAACAUGAAACUGCCAACUCAAAUCUCACACAGGCGUUCAAGUCCCACUCGUAAUAUCAUAGUGUAUGUAGUACAGAUGGCACAUGAAAAACCUAGAUUAAGUACUCUGUCAAAAUCUAAGAAAAUAAUAAAAAAUAUGCUACAGCACAUCAAUUAACUCAUAGUUGGUCACAACGCAAAAAUUCAAGUAUAUCAUAUAUCAUGUUGUAGUUUUAAAAACCUUACCCUUUUUUUAAAUAAAUGUUCUAACCACACAAAAUUAAAAAAUUAAAAAUAUUCAACACACAAUACAAAAAAAUAAAAAUAAAUAAAAAAUGCAUGUGCCAAUACAAACCUAAUGAAGAUGCAUAUACAUAGACUUAUUACCUAUAAAGAAAAUACAAAAAUGAGAUGUAUGUAACAGUGAAUGAAUCACAAUAAAUACACACAAACAUGCACCAGAAAUACUUAAUCAAUUAGGUAUAUAAACUCUCUUACCUUUAAAGCACGGUGAUCUAUUUAAGAAUUUUUGGAUCACUCCUCGUUACCUAAACAUGCCUAGUUGAAGAAUUAAUCCUAGUCGACUGUGUCUUAACUCAGUCAAUUGACUUACCUGAUUAGUGAAGAAGUCAAUUCGGCCAUCAAAAUCCUCUUUUUUUAUUUCUAUUGAAGCUCUGAUUCUAUUUCUGCUCUGGAAUUUAUGACACCUAGGCCUUAUAUGUCCUAACUCAACACAAGUGAAACAAGUAUGGAUAAAUCUAGGACCAAGGUUAUACA
Molecule: long non-coding RNA, 1068 nt
Filed under: Olea europaea (common olive)
Lineage: Eukaryota; Viridiplantae; Streptophyta; Magnoliopsida; Lamiales; Oleaceae
Description: long non-coding RNA (OEUR_LNC013553)
Source: RNAcentral